This 65-nucleotide transfer RNA is filed under the name Fukomys damarensis (Damara mole-rat). It matches the Rfam family "tRNA". Rfam says of the family: Transfer RNA (tRNA) molecules are approximately 80 nucleotides in length. Their secondary structure includes four short double-helical elements and three loops (D, anti-codon, and T loops). Further hydrogen bonds mediate the characteristic L-shaped molecular structure. tRNAs have two regions of fundamental functional importance: the anti-codon, which is responsible for specific mRNA codon recognition, and the 3' end, to which the tRNAs corresponding amino acid is attached (by aminoacyl-tRNA synthetases). tRNAs cope with the degeneracy of the genetic code in two manners: having more than one tRNA (with a specific anti-codon) for a particular amino acid; and 'wobble' base-pairing, i.e. permitting non-standard base-pairing at the 3rd anti-codon position. The record is from Rfam by way of RNAcentral. Lineage: Eukaryota; Metazoa; Chordata; Mammalia; Rodentia; Bathyergidae.
GGGGAUUUAGCUCAAUGGUUCCAGCACCUGCCUCAAAAGCAGUAAGGGCCUGAGUUCAGUCUCCA